GACGAACGCUGGCGGCGUGCUUAACACAUGCAAGUCGAACGGAAAGGCCCUGCUUUUGUGGGGUGCUCGAGUGGCGAACGGGUGAGUAACACGUGAGUAACCUGCCCUUGACUUUGGGAUAACUUCAGGAAACUGGGGCUAAUACCGGAUCGGAUCUCCUGCUGCAUUGUGGGGGUUGGAAAGUUUCGGCGGUUGGGGAUGGACUCGCGGCUUAUCAGCUUGUUGGUGGGGUAGUGGCAUACCAAGGCUUUGACGGAUAGCCGGCCUGAGAGGGUGACCGGCGACAUGGGGACUGAGAUAGGGCCCAGUCUCCUACGGGAGGCAGCGGGGGCGAACAUUGCACAAUGGGCGGAAGCGUGAUGCAGCAGCGCCGCGUGCGGGAUGACGGCCUGCGGGUUGUAAACCGCUGUAGCCUGUGACGAAGCGUGAGUGACGGUAAUGGGUAAAGAAGCACCGGCUAACUACGUG
This 468-nucleotide ribosomal RNA is filed under the name uncultured bacterium. RNAcentral describes it as "partial 16S ribosomal RNA". It matches the Rfam family "Bacterial small subunit ribosomal RNA", at positions 28 to 507 of the family's 1533-position model. The record is from RNAcentral.